AGGGACUGGCUCUAUAACAUUAUCAGAUGACCUUCUCCUUUCAUCAGUUCUAUUUGUCCCUAAACUAAAUUGCAAUCUUCUUUCAAUAAGCAAACUUACUCGAGAUCUGAAUUGUGUAACUAAAUUCUAUCCAAAUCUUUGUGAAUUUCAGGUUGAGGGCCCGAAGAAGGUGAUUGGCAGUGCUGAAAUGCAUGAUGGGUUCUAUAUACUUUAGGAUUCUCCUAACAGUAAACAAGUUCACAAAUCAAUUGUGGUAACCAUUCCAAUUUAGAUUCUAUUUUCAAUCCUGUAUCUGUUUCGAAUGAAAAUCUCGUCAUGUUGUGCCAUUUUCGACUUGGACAUCCAAAUUUUAGUUAUCUUGAAAAACUAUUUUCUCAGUUAUUUGACAAAAGACUCAAAUUCUUUCAUUGUGAAGUAUGUCAACUUGCUAAACAUACUUGAAACUCUUUUCUUGGUCUUCCUUACAAACCUUCACAACCUUUUUCGAUGAUGCACAGUGAUAUUUGGGGACCCUCACGAGUAACAAAUAUUAAUGGAUGUAGAUGGUUUGUAUCCUUUAUUGAUGACCAUACUAGGACAACAUGUACAUUCCUUAUGAAAGAAAAAUUUGAAAUUGCUUCCAUUUUUAAAAUUUCUCAUUUCAUGAUUCAAAAUCAAUUUAACUGAAAGAUUUAAAUCCUAAAAGCAAAUAAUGGAAAGAAAUAUUUUAACUUCUUUAUUGGUCUAUACUUGUUAGAUCAAGGAAUUGUUCACAUUAGUUCAUGUGUUGAUACUCUGCAACAAAAUGGAGUGGCUGAGAGGAAAAAUAGACAUCUUCUUGAAGUUUCUAGAUCUAUCAUGUUUUCAAAUCAUGUUCCUAAACAAUUUUGGGGGAAGCCUUACUCACUACCACCUAUCUCAUCAAUCGUAUGCCUAGCCGUGUACUACAAUUCAAAGCCCCAAGAAAUCUGUUACUUGCAACAUUCCUUCAUAUCUCAACUUUCUCCUCAGAUCUUCCAUUCAAAGUCUUCGGAUGUACAACUUUUGUCCAUGUUUAUGAUCACAAAAGAACAAAACUUGAUCCAAAGUCUCACAAGUGUCUCUUCAUCGAGUAUUCCAACACUCAAAAAUUGUUCAAAUGUUACUCCCCAAUUACAAAAAGGGUUUAUAACACUAUGGAUGUCACAUUUUUUGAACAUCAAUCUUUCUUUCCCAAGUCUGGUAUUCGGAGAGCAUUCACAGGAAUAUCAGCUUUGGGAAACUCUUCAGGAUCAUCAAGCUGCAUUUCCUCAACCCAAUGUUGUGGCACACGAACAUCAAAGUGCUCAGUCUUUGUUUUCUUUGCCUAUCCAACCAGAUCAAUCAACUGGUCCUUCCUUGUCUUCUUUUCCUAUCCAACCAGAUAUCAAUCCAGAAAACACAUCCAACCUGUCCUUUUCUACAAUCAAUCUGACCUCACCUUCCUCAGAAAAUCCAAACACUCUUUCAAACUUACCACCACCUCAAACUCAAGCACAAUUUGAUACAAGUAACAAAGAACUUCGUGUUUAUAGCAGGAGAAAAGUUGGGAAUAUAGAGAUCAACAUGCAAGACAAAAACUGUUCAAACACUCAUCAAAGCCCUCUCAACCUUGAAAAUCAUGAAAGUAAGGAUUCUAUGACUCAUGAGUUUGUUUCUCCUAUUAUUGAUGAUCUCGACCUACCUAUUGCUCAUCGGAAGGGUGUUAGAACUUGUACCAAUCACCCAUUGAAAAAUAUGUUGCUUAUGGGACACUAACACCUAUGUGCUGAGCUUUUGUCUCUUUUCUUGAUCUUAUUUAGAUUCCCACAGACAUUUAUGAGACCUUGAGAGAGCCUAAAUGGAAGAAUGCAGUCGAUGAAGAAAUGAAUGCUCUUGAGAAAAAUGGUACUUGGGUUCUCACUGAGUUACCUCAAGGAAAGCGGACAGUUGGUUGUAAGUGGAUUUUCACCGUCAAGUAUAAUUCAGAUGGGAGUAUCAACAGAUUCAAGGCUCGAUUAGUUGCCAAGGGGUUAACUCAAUCAUAUGGUAAUAUAAGGAGUCCUUUGCUCCCGUUGCCAAACUUAAUACAGUAAGAGUUUUAUUAUCACUUGCUGUAAAUUGUGAUUGGCUUUUAUAUCAGUUGGAUGUAAAAAAUGCAUUUUUGAAUGGAGAUCUCGAAGAAGUCUUUAUGGAAAUUCCACUAGGGAUGAAGAAACACUCUAGUGGUCGAGUGGUGUGCAAACUUCUCAAAUCUCUUUAUGACUUGAAACAGUCACCUCGGGCAUGGUUUGACCAAUUUGGGAAGUUAGUUGUCAAACAUAGAUAUACUCAAAGCCAGGUUGAUAGAGAAGCUAGCAAUUCUCAUCGUCUAUGUGGAUGACAUAAUCUUAACUAUAGAUGACUUGGGAGAAAUUUCAGAUUUCAAAAGACUUCUUGCCUAAGAAUUUGAAAUCAAAGAUCUAGGAACCCUCAAUUACUUUCUUGGUAUGGAAGUAGCCCGAUCGAAGGAAGGAAUUGUUAUAUCUCAGCAAAAGUAUAUCGUAGAUCUUCUAAAGGAAACUGGAAUGAUUGGGAGCAAGCUGGUUGACACUCCCAUGGAUCCAAACUUGAAAGUUAAUCGAAGGGAGGAUUCAACUCCAGUAGAGGGGGAGCUAUCAAAGAUUAGUAGAAAAACUAAUCUAUCUCUCUCAUACUAGACCUGAUAUCGCCUUCCCUGUCAGUGUUGUAAGUCAGCACAUGCACAGUCCUUGUGAGGAGCACUUGGAAGCAGUGUAUCGUAUUCUAAUGUAUCUGAAAAUGACACCAAAUCUUGGUUUGCAACUCAGAAAACACAACAACCGAGACUUGGAAGUUUACACAGACUCUAGUUGGCCUGGAAAGUUGAUCGACAAACGAUCAACCAGUGGUUAUUGCACCUGUGUGCGGGGUAAUUUAGUUACUUGGCGCAGUAAAAAGUAGUAUGUGCUCUCAAGGAGUAGUGCAAAGUCAGAAUAUUGUAGUUUGGCCUUGGGUAUUUAUGGAGAGAUGUGGAUCAAGUCUUAUGAAUGAAUUGAGGUUUGACUCUCCCGAGUCCUUUAAAAUGUAUAGUGAUAGUCAAGCUGCAAUUAACAUUGCUAAAAAUCUAGUUCACCACGAUAAAACUAAACAUGUUGAAAUAGACACUUCAUUUCUGAGGAGGUGAAUUCAAAGAAUAUUGGGCUCAACUACAUUCACAUAGAAAUAGAUUGCCGCCAUCCUAACAAAGGCCCUACCAAGAACAAGUUUUGAGGAAUUCAAUUCCAAGCUGGGUUUGUAUGACAUAUACAACUCAGCUUGAGUGAAGUGUAGAAAUAUCAUUGUAAAUACCUAGAGUUUUUUGUACAACUAAGUUUAGGUUAUAUUUUUUCCUUAUAUUUUAUCUAGCUCUUUGUAUUCAACCUAUACAUAGGUCAUACUGUUUAUCAAUAAAAUCAGAUUAGAAGUAUUAUUCACAAAAUCUACAAGGCGCAACCAGUUCUGAAAGUUUAAUGGUAAAGGCUUUAUAGGAUUCAGAUAAGUGGUUGUAGGAUAUGUAUUUAGCCAUGGGGUAUUUGGUACAGGUACGGGUUCCUUUCCUAAGAGCAAUGGGAAUGUUGUCUAACUCAAGAUUUCCUGGGGCUAAUUCUGGGGUAGUUUUAGAAUCAGAUUUUGGGUUUAAAUCAUGUUGAGAUGGCUGAAUAAUAUGUGGAGAUGAAUCAGAAACAGAAUUGGAAGAAGAAUUACCUGGAAUACUCGAAGAACCAUUGUCCAGGGCUUUCAAUUGACCAUGUGUAGGGAUUAUCAAAGGAUUCCUACUUCUUUCAGUGACAUUUUUCCUCGAAUAAACCACAGGCUCAAGAUUAUUACGAUAUUUUAUUAAUCGUAGCAUUUCUUUAUUUGACAAACCAAUUUCAGAUUCGUAAGUGGGAUUAGUUUCCUGAAUAGAAAUAUCAAGAAUAGUCUUAAGUAAAGCUUCCACAGUUUAGCAAAAAUUUGGUUCCACUAAAUUCUCCCCCUGGAUUAAAUUUUUGAAGAAAAAAGGGAUAUUUUCUAAAAAAGAAACAUCCAUAGUCGUAUAAAUACGCUUAGUGAUAAGAUUGAAACAUUUAUACCCUUUUUUAUUAGGAGGAUAACAAAAAAAAAAACACAUUUUUCAGCUCUAGGAUCUAGCUUAGACCAAGAUCGUUUAAGAAUGUGAACAUAAGCGGUACAACCAAAUUUUUUUAAAGGUAAAUCAGAAUUAAUUCUAGAAUUAGGAAAGCUUUUUGAGACAUUCUAAUGGGGUAAGAUACUGUAAAAUUUUGUGGGCAUCCUAUUUAUUAAAUAAGAUGCAGUAAGAAUGGCAUCCCCCUCCAUAAAUAUUUAGGAAUUUGCAUAUAAAACAUCAUAACACAAGUAGUUUCCAAUAAAUGUCUUUUUUUCCUUUCAGCCACGUGUAUCUGGACAAGUAGAUUGAUGCAAAAUACCUUUGUCUUUUAAAAAUUCCCAAGGAUUUUAUUAAAAUACUCUGUUCCAUUAUCAGUUCUUAAAAUACUAAUUUUUGUUUGAAAUUGGGUUUCAAUCAUUUUGUAAAAAUCGAAAAAAAGCUGCCAGCCUCAGAUUUUUCACUCAUUAAAUAUACCCAACAAAGACGAGUAUGGUCGUCUAUAAAAGUAACAAACUAUUUUUUUCCAGAAUUAGUGAUGACCUUAGAUGGUCCUCAAACAUAACUAUGAAAAAGAUAAAAAUGUUUUGAAGAUUUAUAGGAUGUUUAACAUAAGACUUACGUUGGCUCUUGGUCAAUAAACUUCCACAUUGAAAAGUGUAGAUAAUACUGUUUUAUUUUAUUAGCUAAUAUUAUUUAAAUAUUUGUUAGAGAUGUUAGUUACAUAAAAUGUGAAACCAAUUUGUAUAUUUCCUUUCUUAGAUAUUUGAUAGGCUGAUUUAAUUGUAAUUAGAUGAUUUGAUUUUAUUGUAAUUACUCCAGAAUGUUAGUUGGUUGGUUAAUUACUCCAGAAAGUUAAAUUAUUUGGUUGGUUGUUAUUCUUGGAUAAGCUGAAUGUCCAUGAUAACUUGCAAAGGUGUAGACCUUUUCACUAUUUGUCGCCAAAUUGGUGUGUUUGUUGUAAGAAUGAGGGGGAGUCUGUUGGUCAUUUGUUUUUGGAGUGUUUGUUUACUAGGGAGGUGUGGUUUAAAGUGCUAGAUGAGUUUGGGAUUUCUUGGUGUAUGCCUUCCUCUUGUUCUCAAUUAUUCCUUUGCCAUUUAGAGGGGGUCGGAGGGUGGCUCGUUUGUGGUAGAGUACUGUGUUGGCGACUUUUUGGGCAAUUUGGCUGGAGAGAAAUAGUAGGAUUUUUUAAGAUGUUUCUUCCACAGUGGAAAGUCUCUGGGAUAAGAUCAAGUUCUGAGUGGCCACGUGGGUGUUUAGAUCAAAAGGUUUUGAGGGAGUUUCUUUCUUGGAUCUUUGUAGGGAGUGGAGUAGUUUGUGGCUGUAAUAGUUUUUGGAGAGUGAGUCGAUAGGAGUUUUCUUAAGAUUGGUAGGUUUAAUUUUUAUUUGUUUUUUGUAACCACGGUUUUCCUCCGCCAUAAGUGAGGGCUCUCAAUGUUAUUGAGAGGAGAUCAUCCUAUGACCUCUAUCUCUUUUUCAAAAAAAAUUACUCCAGAAUAUUAGGUAUUCAAUACCAAAUAUCUCUAUAGGUUGUACCAUGCCUAUUUAAAUGGCAUAGCUCUCAAAUAAUAAAAUAUGUGAGGCUAUUUUCCACAUGGUAUCAGAGCCCAUACCCUCACCCUUGAGAUUGCAAUUUUUUUUUCUGCCAUUUUUGAAAUCGCAAACAAUUUUUUUUCCUUCUUCUAAAUCGCAGCCUUUGUUUCCCUUAUGGCAGACCCCACCAACCAAACUCCUCCAAUGGCUUCCAUCACUAGUGAUAACUCGGCCAACUCCUCCAUCAACAAAACUCUUAAGAAUUCUUCUGAUGCCUCUCCUACUCCAUUUGAUCACCAAAAUUCUCUCCAAAUCACAAUCCACAAGCUAAAUGGUCAGAACUUCUUGCAAUGGUCCCAAUCUGUGAAGAUGUAUCUACAUGGACGUGGCCGCUUGGGGUAUUUGAAUGGUUCUAUUGCUGCUCCUGACCUUGCUGAUCCAUCUUAUUCCAAAUGGGAGUCAGGAAACUCUCAUUAUGGCAUGGCUGAUCAACUCCAUGGAAGUUGAUAUUGGUAAGACUUAUCUAUUUCUCUCCACUGCUCAGGAAGUGUGGGAUACUGUCCAGGAAGCUUUCUUGGAUUUGGAGAAUUCUGCUCAGGUGUUUGAACUCAAGUCUCGACUUAGGGACCAGCGACAAAACUCUCUUUCGGUAACUCAAUACUAUGGUAUUCUUUAUAAUCUUUGGCAAGAGAUUGAUUUAUUUUAUGUGCUGAAUGGAAUGUUCUGCUGAUGCUUCUAUUUAUCAAAAGAUGCUUGAUCGAGAGACUUUUUGAUUUUCUCCAUGGACUUAACCAAGACCUAGACGAGGUUCGUGGUUGUCUCUUAGGAAAUUCCCACCAUUCGUGAGGCUUUUGCAGAAGUUUGCAGGGAGGAAGUCGUAAAAGGGUCAUGAUGGGCUCUCCCGUUGCUGCUGAAACUGAUCAUUCUGCCCUUGCUGCCCGACGUCCUAAUGAUGGUGAAGACUCUCGAGGGACUCGUCGUGAACGCUCCUGGUGUACUCACUACAGGAAGGUUGGUCAUACCAGGGAGACAUGUUGGAAGAUUCAUGGGAAGCCUGUUGAUUGGAAGCCUCGCUCCUCUAAUCGCACCAAUUCUGAGAGUCACGCCUUAAUCGCUGCUCCACCUGAGCCUUUUCCAUUUUCUCAAGCCCAAAUCACUGAACUCCAUCAGCUAUUAAACACAUCAACCUAUGAGCAAUUAUCUGGAGAAAAUUCUAUAUUUUUAUUAUAUUUUCAAUGAAUAGAUUACAUUUGAUACUUAUACUGUAUUUUACAAUAAAUAAAAUAGGAACUAACUCCCUAACUAAAUAGGACCUGACUAAAGACUAACUAAUCAGCCUAUGACUAGGGAAACCAUACGACUGAUUCUACACUCCUCCUCAAGCUGGAUGAUAUAUGUCAUACAUCCCAAGCUUGUCUAUCAAUCGCUCAAACAUAGGUUUAACAAGAGCUUUUGUCAGAAUGUCCGCUGUUUGUUGAGAAGUCGAUAUGUAGGAAACCUCAAGAAUCCCUUCAUCAAUUUUUUCCUUUAUAAAGUGUCGAUCAAUUUCAACAUGUUUCAUCCUAUCAUGAUGGACAGGGUUGUGUGAAAUUGAAAUUGCAGCCUUGUUGUCACACCAAAUGAUUAUAGGACCUUGCUUCAGUACUUGUAGUUCUCCAAGGAGAUGUUUCAGCCAAAGUGCCUCACAUAUACCAAGAGCAGUAGAACGAAGUUCAGCCUCAGCACUACUCCUAGCAACCACAGACUGCUUCUUACUUCUCCAAGUAACCAAGUUUCCAAAAACAUAAGAGCAAUUUCCUGAAGUAGAUCUCUGAUCAUUUGGACAUCCUGCCCAGUCAGCAUCAACAAACACUUCAAUACUCCUCUUAGCUUGUUUCCUGAACAUUAACCCUCUACUAGGAGUCCCCUUAAAUAUUUUAAUACUCAGUUUGCAGCAUCCAAGUGACAUUGAUAUGGUGAAUCCAUGAACUGACUAAUACAACUUACUGAAAAAGCAAUAUCCGGCCUGGUGUGAGCAAGAUAAAUUAACCUUCCAACCAGCUGUUGAAACAUACCUCGGUCAACUGGUGAAUCUUUAGGAUUGACUUCAAGUUUAAUAUUUGGGUCCAUAGGAGUAUCCACUCGUUUACACCCCAUUAAUCCAGUAUCUUCCAACAAAUCUAGGACAUAUUUUCGUUGUGAGACAAAUAUUCCUUCCUGACUUCUAGCAACUUCCAUACCAAGAAAAAACCCGAGUUUCCAAGAUCCUUCAUCUCAAAAGUCUUUGCAAGAUGCUUCUUGAUUCUAUUUAUCUCUUCAAGAUCAUCACCGGUGAUUAUAAUAUCAUCCACGUAGACUAUCAGUAUAGCAAUCUUGUUUUUUACUCUAUGAUGAAACAAAGUGUGAUCGGUAUGAGCUUGCUUGUAUCCUAAUUGUAGAACAGUUCUGGUAAACCUAUCAAACCACGCCUUAGGAGACUGCUUCAACCCAUAGAGAGCCUUCUUCAAAUGACAAACUGAUCCCUCUCUUUUUUUAUUAAACCCUGGUGGUAGAUCCAUGUACGCUUCUUCUGCCAAAUUGCCAUUAAGGAAGGCAUUUUUGACAUCUAGCUGAAACAGCGACCAAUCUAAGUUUGUUGCAAGAGAUAACAACACUUGAAUAGUAUUGAUCUUAGCCACAGGAGCAAAGGUCUCUUGAUAAUCUAUGCCAUAAGUCUGUGUAUAACCCUUUGCAACUAGACGCGCCUUGCACCUUUCAACAGAUCCAUCACUCUUGUACUUAAUUGUAAAGACCCAUUUGCAUCCAACAUGUUCUUUCCCUGCUGGUCAGUCCACUAUUUCCCAUGUAUCCUUUUUUUCUAAAGCCUUGAUCUCCUCACAAACUGCUGCAUACCACUGUUUGCUUUUAAAAGCUUCCUCAAUAUUUUUUGGUACCACUGUUUCUGAAAGAUUAGUUACCAAGGCUUGCGAAGGUCUAGAUAAAUGAGAAUAGCCCAAAAAAUCUGAUAUAGGAUGUUUUAUAGUACACAAGCGAGUACCUUUAUGUAGAGCAAUUGGCAUAUCCAACUCAGUGUUUUCAGGACUUGGUUUCGAAGCAGAUGAUUGGUGUGCUGGUGGUGCUGGUUCAGUACCUAUUUCUGCAUGUUUUCUUCUGCUGUAAGUCAGAGGGAAAGGAGAAAUUGAUGGUACCACAGGCGCUGGAAUUUGGGGACUAUUUUGACCAGAAUUUUGAAUUUCUUGAAUAGGUAAAGAAGCUAGGUCAGCUCCCUGAUUUUGUGGGGAAUAAGUCGGCUCAACAUGCUGAAUUUGUGGACCAUUUCGAAUUAAAUUCAAAUCAGAAAUAUCAAAGUUAUUUUGAGAAAAAUCUGGCGGAUUUGGUGGGAUUUGGUCAAAGGAAUUUGGACCAAUCUAAUUUGAAUUUAAAUUGGAAAUAUGAGAAAUAUUAAUAUUCUGAUUUUUUUUCCCUGAUUUGAUGGGAAUACAGUCCCCCCUGAGUCGAAUUAGGAGGGGAAUUUAAAUCCCAAAAAUAUUCCCAAUUUUGUUGAGAAAUAAGAGGAGCUGGAUCAGAAAAAUUCGAAAAAUCAAAAGGUUCCUGCUGACUAGAAGAAUCCAAAUAAAAUGACUGAUGCUCAAAAAAUAUUACAUCUCUAGAAAUAAAAUAUUUUCUUUUUGAAGGAGAAUAGCAUCGGUAACCCUUUUGGGUAGAAGAAUAUCCAACAAAAACACAUUUUUGACUUCUAGGAUCCAAUUUAGUUCUAAGAUGAGUGAAUAUGAACAAAAACAGUAUAUCCAAAAAUUCUUAAAGAGAGAUCAAAAAAUAGAUUACUAUUUGGAAAGCAUUCAUGAAGAACUGAAAUUGGAGUUUUGAAUUUUAAAAUCCGAGAUGGCAAUCGGUUUAUUAAAUAGCAGGCAGUUAAAAUUGUAUCCCCCAAUAGUGUUUAGGCAAAUUACUAGUAAAAAGUAAUGCACGAGCAACCUCUAGUAGGUGCCUAUUUUUUCUUUCAGAUACACCAUUUUGUUGGGGUUUAUCAACACAAGAACUUUGAUGGAUGAUUCCUCUGUUUGAGCAAAAAUUAUUUAGAGUGGCAAUAAAAUACUCAGUUCCAUUAUCAGUUCGAAGAAUCUGGAUACGAGAAUCAAAUUGAGUAAAAAUCAUGUUAUAAAAUUGCUCAAAUAUUUGCACAACUUUAGAUUUUUCACGUAAAAGAAAUAUCCAACAAACACGCAAAUGAUCAUCAAUAAACGUAAUAAAUCACCUUUUAUUUGAAAUAGAAGAAAUUUUUGAUGGACCCCAUAGAUCACUAUGAACAAUAGAAAAAGGUUUAGAAGAAUGAUAUGAAUGAAGUGAAAAAGGAAUUCUAGUAUGCUUAGCUAACUAACAAACUCCACACACAAAAUUAUCCGAGGAAAGAAAUAAUGAGGGAAAUAUGCGACGCAUGUAAGAGAAACUAGGACGACCAAGACGAUGAUGGAGCAAUUUUAUUUGGUGGUGACGCUGAGAAGAUAAUGAACCAUGGACAACUUGACAACAACGAACUUCAGGACCAGCACGAAGAAGAUAAUAUAAUCCAGCCACUUCAGCAUGCCCAAUCAUCCUCCCCGAAUCCUGAUCCUGGAAAACAUAUAUUUUUUGAGAAAUUAGCAACACAAUUAGAGUCCCGAGUUAAUUUGCUAAUAGAAAGAAAAUUAUAAGACAACUUAGGGACAAAUAGAACAUGGUGUAGCAUGAAAUGGGAAUUAAAAACCACAGAUCCAACCCCCUCUACUGGAGCAAUAGAUCUAUCUGCCAAUGUAACAGUACUAGUACCAAAAUAUUUUUUGUACGAAGAGAAAAUAUUAUGAGAACUCGAAUCAUUAAUGUGUUCGGAAGCACCCGAAUCAAUUAUCCAAAACUCACCCAAUGUGUCUGACUCGUUCACAGUGGAAGAAGAAAUACCACGAGUCAUUAAUGAUUUAGAUGAAGAGAACAAUCGUCCAAUCUGAUCAAGUUGAGCUUGAGUGAAGGUCAUGGAUGAGGAAGCAACUGCAUCAGGUUUUUGAGUCACUACAUCAAGUUUGGGGAAGGCUGGUGCAUCAGGUUUGGAGGUUGUUGGUGGUUUGACUCCAUUAUUCUGUGGUUGCGUGGCACCUAGUCGGCUGGCUUACCAUGUAGCUUCCAACACGUUUCUUUGCUAUGAUGAGGCCGACUACAGUGUGUACACCAAAGAGGCUUUCGAGAAUCAGAUGAGCGAGCAGCCAUGGCAGAUGCAUUGGAGUUAAGUGGUGGAGUUGAACUCAUAGAAGGACCUCCAAGCAUAAUACGACGGCGUUCUUCACGACGAACCUCUGAAAAAAUAGAAUCAAGAGUCGGAAGUUUCUUAUUACUGAGGAUGCGACUACGAACAUCAUCAAGGACAGGAUUGAGACCAGUCAAAAAAUCAUAGGUUUGUUCUUUUGCAAGCAAUUUCCUAUAAAUCUCUUGAUUGGUAGUGUCUGUCCAAAUUGGCCGAGUAAAAAGGUCAAGUUCCUGCCAAAGUUUGGUUAGAGAACUAUAAUAUUGAGUGACAGUACCUUCAUCUUGACACAAAUUCCUAGAGCGAUGUCGUAAAUCGAACAUUUGUGAAUAAUCCUCCAAAUCUGAAUAAGCUAAAAGCACUGCAUCCCAUCUUGUUUUUGCUAUCGGGUAGAACAAAUAAAUUUUAGCAAUGGAAUCAUCCAUUGAGUGUAGGAGCCACGCCAUAACCAUGGAAUUGUUGAUAUCCCAAGAAGGAAAAGUAGGAUCAGUAGAAGCUGGUUUCAGAAUCGAACCAUCGAGAUAGCCAAAAUGGCCUUUUCCUCGAAUGAUGAGUUGAACAAAGCGGGACCAUUGAAGGUAAUUCUGGCCAUUAAGUUUGAAACUUGUAAUUUGGAAAGGCAGGGAGUUAUUAUCAGUGGCAGUAGGAUUGGUGGAAGUGAUUGUGGGAUUUGAAGGUGGGGAAUUAUUAUCAGUAGGAUUUGUGGGAAUGAUUGUGGGAUUUGAUGGACCUGUGUCCAAGGACACAUCAGAUUCAUUUGUCCCGCUCAUUCCAGAAAAAUUGAAUUUUCUCAACCAAAAAAUUGCUUUUAAGUGUGAGUAAGCUCUGAUACCAUAUGAGCAAUUAUCAGGAGAAAAUUCUAUAUUUUUAUUAUAUUUUCAAUGAAUAGAUUACACCUGAUAUUUAUACUGUAUUUACAAUAAAUAAAAUAGGAACUAACUCCCUAACUAAUAGGACCUGACUAAAGACUAACUAAUCACCCUAUGACUAGGGAAACCAUACGACUGAUUCUACGCAACCACUGCUUCCGCACCUGAACCUGUGUCUACUCUUAAUCAAGGUACUUCUGUUGCCUUCAAUGCUCAAAAAACUGCCUGGAUUGUAGACUCAGGGGCUUCAGACCACAUGACUAGUCAUUCCAGCCACUUUACCACAUAUUCUCCUUGGCGAGGAUAUGUUCUCGGGGAAGAUGAUUGGGAAUGCGAAGGUUUUGACGGGUAUCACAGAACCUGAGCUAUAUAUCUUAGAUACAUUUGAGGACGAUGAGUAUGAAAGACACACUGUUGAGGUUUCAUUAGAGGAUAGUUCUGGAAAGUUACUAGCUCACACUUACGUUUGG
This is an RNA transcript of Humulus lupulus (European hop), 12243 nucleotides long. It is a transcript of the gene named AIG2-like protein D, with no coding region annotated. The record is from RefSeq and is a predicted model, not a curated record. The transcript has 4 exons. NCBI's taxonomy places the organism in Eukaryota, Viridiplantae, Streptophyta, Magnoliopsida, Rosales, Cannabaceae.